Molecule: ribosomal RNA, 494 nt
Filed under: uncultured bacterium
Lineage: Bacteria
Description: partial 16S ribosomal RNA
Rfam family: Bacterial small subunit ribosomal RNA
Source: RNAcentral
GACGAACGCUGGCGGCGUGCUUAACACAUGCAAGUCGAACGGUGAAGCGCCUUCCUUUUUGGUGGGUGUGGAUGAGUGGCGAACGGGUGAGUAACACGUGAGUAACCUGCCCCCUUCUUCUGGAUAACCGCAUGAAAGUGUGGCUAAUACGGGAUAUUCUGGGUCUGUCGCAUGAUGGGUCUGGGAAAGAUAUUGUUUCGGUGGGGGAUGGGCUCGCGGCCUAUCAGCUUGUUGGUGGGGUGAUGGCCUACCACGGCGGUGACGGGUAGCCGGCCUGAGAGGGUGGACGGUCCCACUGGGACUGCGACACGGCCCAGACUCCUACGGGAGGCAGCAGUGGGGAAUAUUGCACAAUGGGCGCAAGCCUGAUGCAGCGACGCCGCGUGAGGGAUGGAGGCCUUCGGGUUGUGAACCUCUUUCGCCAGUGAAGCAGGCCUGCCUCGUUUGUGGGUGGGUUGACGGUAGCUGGAUAAGAAGCGCCGGCUAACUACGUG